Molecule: transfer RNA, 90 nt
Filed under: Micromonospora sp. CB01531
Lineage: Bacteria; Bacillati; Actinomycetota; Actinomycetes; Micromonosporales; Micromonosporaceae
Description: tRNA-Ser
Rfam family: tRNA
About the family: Transfer RNA (tRNA) molecules are approximately 80 nucleotides in length. Their secondary structure includes four short double-helical elements and three loops (D, anti-codon, and T loops).
Source: RNAcentral
GGAGGGUUCGCCUAGUGGCCGAUGGCGCUGGUCUUGAAAACCGGUAAGGCAGCGAUGUCUUCGUGGGUUCGAAUCCCACACCCUCCGCAA